UCUCAAAUCACUGGUCUGGCUUGAAGCCUCUGGUUUCUGCUAUGCCACAGAUAAUGGACUCUCAAUGGGGUUCCUCUUAGAUAUCCUGUUGUCCUGUGUGGGCUCUCACUGGGGAUCCUCGUGGAUAACCUGUUGUCCUGUGUCAUGGAGAUCCUGCUGUUUGGGAUCUGUAGGUUUAUCCACUUCACAUGCUCCAACAGUUCAUAGAUUCAGUGGAUGCUGGGGUUGGUCAACUCAUAGCCCUGGUCCUGGGCCUGGGUGGUAUCUGGGUUGAUCAGCUUGCUAGCCUUCCCUCAUGGUUGUUACCCAGAUGAGCUCUCCAGCACUGCCUAGGCUAGCUCACCCAAUGCAGCCUACAGCAGGGAGUGGGGCCAGCUCUCCUGCUCUGGGGCUCUCAGAGCCAUGCCCCACUCACUUACAUCGACCAGGCUGCCUUCUAACUUACAGAGAUUGGCCUUCCUUUGCCUUCUCAGUGCUGGGAUGAAAGGCAUGCACCAUCACAGUGUGGAAAUAAACUCUCCCUGAAUAUCCGACAUCCCACCUACACUAGAUGACUUAGCACUGAGCCUUGGAACAACUUUGCAAGGUUCACAUCGGUUUUCUCUAUCGUAUAAGCGAGACAACCGGAGUUAGAGAGUACAACAACUCAUUUUCAGGUGCACGUCUAGUAAGCUUCAGGGCCAGAACUUGCUUGCUUCUGACUUGUCUGACGGUGAGACUUUUUGGAGAUCUGUUGGACAGAGUUGUGAGUGUCUGGUAGACCGCAGAGCACAGGAAGCAGCCGUCAGCUUGGCUGUCUGUGAGGAGAGAGAGCAGCACCCAGUGGGCUGGGCAGCAGGCUUCCUGCUCCCUCUUUGUCUCCAGAGGACAAGCCGAGCACUGCCACCCAACCAGGCCUCGCCCGUGGGCUGAAGCGGUCCUACAGGGAGAUGGAGUCUGUGCAGAGACUUCAUGCGCACUGUCACAGGGUGUGACUGGUGGCUUGACUUGAUGUCCUCGCCCACCAGAGAACAUUCCAGAAAGAGAAGAUGGUGGUUCCUGGGCUGGUUGGACAGUUUAUCCCACGUCACAGUACUUUGAAGCGUGGCCUUACUUUAGAGACUUGAUGAAGAAUGGUUCAACACACAGUGGGUGCCACCCUUCCAUGGCUGAUCUCCUUGACUUUCUACUCUCUGGAAGCGGCUCAUUCUACUGUUUGGGGAAAGACUCUUUGUCUCAAGACACAGCAAAGUGUAUGAAAAAUACUCAUCUUCAAUAUGAACAGCAUGUAGAUUCCAAACUCAACUACACUCUUUCCAUUUGUGUGAUUUUAAGAAUACUUACCAACUCAAGAUACUUAAUCUUGCUUAUCCUCAGCUUCCCCUUCUUCUUUUUAAAUUUAUUUUAUGUGCAUUGGCAUCAGAGCUCCUGGAACUGGAGUUACAGACAGGUG
Molecule: long non-coding RNA, 1432 nt
Organism: Myodes glareolus (Bank vole)
Lineage: Eukaryota; Metazoa; Chordata; Mammalia; Rodentia; Cricetidae
Source: RefSeq, a predicted model, not a curated record